GUGGCGCGCUGAGUUUGCUGAACGGGCGAGUAAUGCAUCGGAACGUGCCCUGAAGUGGGGGAUAACGCAGCGAAAGUUGCGCUAAUACCGCAUAUUCUGUGAGCAGGAAAGCAGGGGAUCGCAAGACCUUGCGCUUUAGGAGCGGCCGAUGUCGGAUUAGCUAGUUGGUGGGGUAAAGGCUCACCAAGGCGACGAUCCGUAGCGGGUCUGAGAGGAUGAUCCGCCACACUGGGACUGAGACACGGCCCAGACUCCUACGGGAGGCAGCAGUGGGGAAUUUUGGACAAUGGGCGAAAGCCUGAUCCAGCCAUGCCGCGUGAGUGAAGAAGGCCUUCGGGUUGUAAAGCUCUGUCGGCGGGGAAGAAAUCGCAUUCUCUAAUACAGGAUGUGGAUGACGGUACCCGAAUAAGAAGCACCGGCUAACUACGUGCCAGCAGCCGCGGUAAUACGUAGGGUGCGAGCGUUAAUCGGAAUUACUGGGCGUAAAGCGUGCGCAGGGCGGUUUCGUAAGACAGACGUGAAAUCCCCGGGCUCAACCUGGGAACUGCGUUUGUGACUGCGAGGCUAGAGUUUGGCAGAGGGGGGUGGAAUUCCACGUGUAGCAGUGAAAUGCGUAGAGAUGUGGAGGAACACCGAUGGCCGAAGGCAAUCCCCUGGGCCUGCACUGACGCUCAUGCACGAAAGCGUGGGGAGCAACCAGGAUUAGAUACCUUGGUAUUCCACGCCCUUAACGAUGUCAACUGGUUGUGGGGUCUUCCUGGACUC
Molecule: ribosomal RNA, 765 nt
Filed under: uncultured Rhodocyclus sp.
Lineage: Bacteria; Pseudomonadati; Pseudomonadota; Betaproteobacteria; Rhodocyclales; Rhodocyclaceae
Description: bacterial SSU rRNA
Rfam family: Bacterial small subunit ribosomal RNA
Source: RNAcentral